This 470-nucleotide long non-coding RNA is filed under the name Homo sapiens (human). RNAcentral describes it as "non-protein coding lnc-MBOAT1-2:10". Lineage: Eukaryota; Metazoa; Chordata; Mammalia; Primates; Hominidae. The record is from RNAcentral.
UAUAAUUAAAGUGCACCAGCUAGAAAGGCAGAGCCAGUUUCAUUUGGCUCUGUACUACUGUGAAAUAAAUUGUCUGCAUUGUUUAACUUUUUUUUUUUAAUUAGUUUUCCCUGGACGGGAGUUUGCUCUCAGAAACGCUGGGGGCAAAGAACACCGCGGUGCCUGGCCCCGGAAGCCCUCGGGGACGGGCGUCUCUGGUGACCGGCCACCCGAGACGGGAAAUGCGCGCUCACCUGGACAGCGCGGCUCAGCGGCACAGAAUGCUGUCGCCCUGCUUGUUCACCGCGCCGGCCUGGAACAGCAACCGAACACCAAGGGAAAGGUUAGCAGGCGCAAACAACGCGCUCGACACGGUCCUGGAUUGUCCUCGGAAAUCAGGCUGGCGCGCCGACGCCCCCACCCCAGCCUGUAGCCGGGGGGGCCCCUCCGGGCUCAGGCGGGACUUGACAGCCCAGGGCGCCCACAGCCCC